CUUCUCAAGGCCCUGUCUCCCAACCCUUGUACCAGUGCUGUGCCUCAGACCCUGGUACAGGCCUGGGGGACAGGGACUUGGGGAC
Molecule: microRNA precursor, 85 nt
Organism: Rattus norvegicus (Norway rat)
Lineage: Eukaryota; Metazoa; Chordata; Mammalia; Rodentia; Muridae
Gene: Mir150
Product: microRNA 150
Source: Ensembl